AUACGAAGGAUCCGAGCGUUAUCCGGAUUUAUUGGGUUUAAAGGGUGCGCAGGCGGCCAUUUAAGUCAGCGGUUAAAUCGUGGGGCUCAACCCCAUUCUGCCGUUGAUACUGGGUGGCUUGAUUGCGGUCGAGGUUGGCGGAAUUCGUUGUGUAGCGGUGAAAUGCAUAGAUAUGACGAAGAACACCGAUUGCGUAGGCAGCUGACCAGACCGCAAAUGACGCUCAUGCACGAAAGUGCGGGGAUCGAACAGGAUUAGAUACCCUGGUAGUCCGCACAGUAAACGAUGAAUACUUGUUUUCGGCGAUAUAAUGUCGGAGGCAAAGCGAAAGCGAUAAGUAUUCCACCUGGGGGGUACGCCGGCAACGGUGAAACUUAAAGGAAUUGACGGGG
Molecule: ribosomal RNA, 392 nt
Filed under: uncultured bacterium
Lineage: Bacteria
Description: partial 16S ribosomal RNA
Rfam family: Bacterial small subunit ribosomal RNA
Source: RNAcentral